RNAcentral lists this long non-coding RNA (482 nucleotides) under Mytilus galloprovincialis (Mediterranean mussel). The record is from RNAcentral. Lineage: Eukaryota; Metazoa; Mollusca; Bivalvia; Mytilida; Mytilidae.
UAUUGAUUCUGUUCUCAUUGCUGCUGCUUAAACUCAUAAAUCCAUAGUUUGUCAAAGUAUACUAGUAAGUUAAUGUAUAUGUUUAAAAACGCUGAAGGUAUAUACCAUGGAUCACAAAACAUGGAUGUAUAAAAAAUAGGUCGACAAUCGGCCUUCAGAACAAAUUAUACCCAAAACCUUAUGGUAUAAAUAAAAAUAAAAAGUACUUACUAGGUGCAAAAUUGUGUUAGUAUUUAAAGUCUUACAUAUAUAUUUCAUAGACUAUCAACUAUUAUAUUUGGUUCUGUUAUUGCUCAUCUCGGGUUACGAACUAACAAUAACUGUCCCAUGCAUAUAUGUAAAUUAUAUAUUAUAAUUAUUCCAACAGGGAAUUUUUAAAUCGCAAGUACUUUAAAUAAAUAGCAUAGUUCUAUUUUUCUUUUUUGAGUUCUUGAAUGAGGAGGUUAAUUGUUUAUCUGAGCUGCAAUUUAAACCUUUAUAUG